GAUGAACGCUGGCGGCGUGCCUAAUACAUGCAAGUCGAGCGAACAGAUGAGGAGCUUGCUCCUCUGACGUUAGCGGCGGACGGGUGAGUAACACGUGGAUAACCUACCUAUAAGACUGGGAUAACUUCGGGAAACCGGAGCUAAUACCGGAUAAUAUAUUGAACCGCAUGGUUCAAUAGUGAAAGACGGUUUUGCUGUCACUUAUAGAUGGAUCCGCGCCGCAUUAGCUAGUUGGUAAGGUAACGGCUUACCAAGGCGACGAUGCGUAGCCGACCUGAGAGGGUGAUCGGCCACACUGGAACUGAGACACGGUCCAGACUCCUACGGGAGGCAGCAGUAGGGAAUCUUCCGCAAUGGGCGAAAGCCUGACGGAGCAACGCCGCGUGAGUGAUGAAGGUCUUCGGAUCGUAAAACUCUGUUAUUAGGGAAGAACAAAUGUGUAAGUAACUAUGCACGUCUUGACGGUACCUAACCAGAAAGCCACGGCUAACUACGUG
Molecule: ribosomal RNA, 497 nt
Filed under: uncultured bacterium
Lineage: Bacteria
Description: partial 16S ribosomal RNA
Rfam family: Bacterial small subunit ribosomal RNA
Source: RNAcentral